GAUGAAGAACGCAGCGAAAUGCGAUAAGUAAUGUGAAUUGCAGAAUUCAGUGAAUCAUCGAAUCUUUGAACGCACCUUGCGCUCCUUGGUAUUCCGAGGAGCAUGCCUGUUUGAGUGUCAUUAAUAUAUCAACCUUCUCUUUUUUGAGUUGUUUGGAUGUGGGGGUUUGCUGGCCUCUUAAAUGAUUCAGCUCCCCUGAAAUGCAUUAGCAGAACAACCUGUUCAUUAACGUGAUAAUUAUCUAUGCUAUUGAAUGUGAGGGCAGUUCAGCUUUCUAACCGUCCUUGGACAAUUCAUCAUUAAUGUGACCUCAAAUCAGGUAGGACUACCCGCUGAACUUAAGCAUAUCAAUAAGCGGAGGA
This 362-nucleotide unclassified non-coding RNA is filed under the name soil metagenome. RNAcentral's name for it is "partial contains 5.8S ribosomal RNA, internal transcribed spacer 2, and large subunit ribosomal RNA". The stretch from base 1 to 120 matches the Rfam family "5.8S ribosomal RNA", at positions 35 to 154 of the family's 154-position model. The record is from RNAcentral.